Molecule: ribosomal RNA, 787 nt
Filed under: Arthrobacter sp.
Lineage: Bacteria; Bacillati; Actinomycetota; Actinomycetes; Micrococcales; Micrococcaceae
Description: bacterial SSU rRNA
Rfam family: Bacterial small subunit ribosomal RNA
Source: RNAcentral
CAGUCGACGAUGAUCCCAGCUUGCUGGGGGAUUAGUGGCGAACGGGUGAGUAACACGUGAGUAACCUGCCCUUGACUCUGGGAUAAGCCUGGGAAACUGGGUCUAAUACCGGAUAUGACUCCUCAUCGCAUGGUGGGGGGUGGAAAGCUUUUGUGGUUUUGGAUGGACUCGCGGCCUAUCAGCUUGUUGGUGGGGUAAUGGCCUACCAAGGCGACGACGGGUAGCCGGCCUGAGAGGGUGACCGGCCACACUGGGACUGAGACACGGCCCAGACUCCUACGGGAGGCAGCAGUGGGGAAUAUUGCACAAUGGGCGCAAGCCUGAUGCAGCGACGCCGCGUGAGGGAUGACGGCCUUCGGGUUGUAAACCUCUUUCAGUAGGGAAGAAGCGUAAGUGACGGUACCUGCAGAAGAAGCGCCGGCUAACUACGUGCCAGCAGCCGCGGUAAUACGUAGGGCGCAAGCGUUAUCCGGAAUUAUUGGGCGUAAAGAGCUCGUAGGCGGUUUGUCGCGUCUGCUGUGAAAGACCGGGGCUCAACUCCGGUUCUGCAGUGGGUACGGGCAGACUAGAGUGCAGUAGGGGAGACUGGAAUUCCUGGUGUAGCGGUGAAAUGCGCAGAUAUCAGGAGGAACACCGAUGGCGAAGGCAGGUCUCUGGGCUGUAACUGACGCUGAGGAGCGAAAGCAUGGGGAGCGAACAGGAUUAGAUACCCUGGUAGUCCAUGCCGUAAACGUUGGGCACUAGGUGUGGGGGACAUUCCACGUUUUCCGCGCCGUAGCUAACGCAU